GGGCCUGUAGCUUAGCGGUCAAAGCAGCGGACUCAUAAUCCGUUGACCGUGGGUUCGAAUCCCACCGGGCCCACCA
RNAcentral lists this transfer RNA (76 nucleotides) under Pseudomonadota bacterium. RNAcentral describes it as "Proteobacteria bacterium (activated sludge metagenome) tRNA-Ile". It matches the Rfam family "tRNA". From Rfam's summary of the family: Transfer RNA (tRNA) molecules are approximately 80 nucleotides in length. RNAcentral also lists the same sequence under 1 other name. Lineage: Bacteria; Pseudomonadati; Pseudomonadota. The record is from RNAcentral.